UCUAAGAUAAUUUUGUCAUCAGUUACUAGGUGAAGGCGAUUCUAGGAGAUUUUUUGUUAUUUUGUUUUAUUUUGUUUAUUUGAUUUUAGGAGAUAUUUUGUUAUUUUGUUUUACGCCUCUUUCCAAUCAGAUAAAUUAACUUACUAAUGGGCAGAAUCACUUCCAACGACGGUCUACACCCACAUCCAUGGACGGGGGUCAGAUGGUGAAGGAUAGGGAUAGCUGGAAAAGUGCGAGCCUAGGUUAUAUUUCAUCGAUGCAAUAUGGCCCUUUCGCCCAAAGUUUGUCCACCCCUGAUAUAGACCAAGGAUCGCGUAUAGGCAAACUUAAUACAAAAGGCCCUAUAGUAUCAGUGAAAUAUAUCCUAGGACGGCAUUUAUAUAUAUUUUUUUAUUCCUUAAUAAU
This 405-nucleotide long non-coding RNA is filed under the name Androctonus crassicauda. The record is from RNAcentral. Lineage: Eukaryota; Metazoa; Arthropoda; Arachnida; Scorpiones; Buthidae.